UCUUUUCUUCUUCGCACGGUUCUUCGCACGUCCGCUCUCGUUGAUUCUCGCAGCAUCGCCUCCACUCUCGCAACCAGUCGUCCUCGUCUCUUUCUCUCCCCCGAGGCACCGCACGGGUUCCCUGAUCACAAGGCCGACGUCCUCUCGGUUCGAUCCCCGGGUGAGUGGACCUCCUUGAGAAGAAGCCUUCCCUUGUGGAAUGCGAUUCUGCUGAGUUGAUUUCUCCUAUCGUCUCUCUCUGCGUUGUUGCCUCCGCGAAGAGCAAGAGAUCAUUCGAUUUCAUCCCUCGCUCUGGGUUUGAUCCCUAGGGUUUCUCGGGUCCCCAAAUCAGCUCUCUCUCUCUCUGGUUUUCUAGAUCUGCUGGAUUUUUCCUUUGAAAUCUCAUUUUGGUUUCUCUACACACACACACUCUCUCUCUCUCUCUCUCUCUCUCUCUCUCUUCGGUUGCCACUCCGCAAUGGCGAUCCCUCUCUCUUUUCUCCCCCUGUUCUUGUUCGUCCGUCCGGGUGUUUGUUCAAUUUCGAUUCGUGGGUAUGAUUCUGUUUUUCUGGUGUUGUCGUUCUUGCCCCUCCCCGCUUCGCUGGGUAUUUAAUGUUUUCUUGUUUUUGCUCGAUGUGGGAGAGAGAGAGACCCGGGUCUUGACUUCGAUCGUGUGUUUUCUUGAUUGACGGGAUUUAGAGCCGCAUCCAUGGGGACACUGAAGCAAAGGGGAGGAAGAAGGAAGCAGUAGCAGUAGCAGACCAGGUGCAAGCUUUGUGCUUUUUUUACUUGUUCAGAUUUUUUUUCUUGUCUGUGUGUUCUGGGGAAGGAGGGUUUUUGUUUCCCCCCUCUUUGCAUGCAUGCGUUUCGGUGGUUUAUGUGCUGGUGGGUGUGUUUCGGGAUUGGAUCAGUUGUGUAGCUCUUUUUAGAAAUUUUCUGAGUGGGAAACUGUUUUCCGAGUGGCAAGUUCGAUUAUGGCGGAGUAUCGGUAGCAUGGGGUGUUUGUGCGGCAUGGCUUGAUAUGGGGCCAUAUGAUUGCUGAUAGGCUUUAUCAGAUUUGGCGUGAUGAGAGGAGAAAAUUUUGGCACUGCAAUUUUACUUGUGCGGUUGUGAUUGAUUGUGCUGAUUCUAUGAAUUACUUUUUGAAGAAGUUGCGGACUUUUGACCGAAGAAAUUGUAAGAAGGUCCUAUUAUGAAUUAAGAUGUUUAUGGCAAUUCCAAAGUAAAGUUAGUUUUGCCACUGAAAUAAUGGUAAUUGGAGUUGAUAGAUUCUCCUUUUUAAGGCAAAAUAUGUGAUAUCAUCAAUACUUUCAGCAUAAUCAUGCCUCUUAAACAUGUUGUUGUAACAGGUCUGCCAUAUGAAUGCACUGUAAGAAUAGUUUUGGGCAAGUAAAUUAUAGUAUCUAUUAAGUAAUUAUGUGAAAAUCUCUAUAUACUCUUGUCUAGGUAAAGUAAUGUCUCUAAGUGAACUAUUUCCUAGGUAGUCCUAUUCCCUACGGUUCAAGAAGUUAAAGUGUGUUAUCUACUUUAGGGAAACAUAAUAGGGUGAGAGCAGCAAUAUUCUCUGUUUUGGUUUGCAAGAUGAUAUAUGGUCAUAAAAAAACACCUACCUAUUCGACACCCACGUCUUGGUUUCAUUUUGCUCGAAUUGCAGGAGGGAUAACUUAGAAACAAUAACGAAAUGCUCAACAUGACUCAUUGAUGGUUUAAUUUGUUGUUGUAAUUAAAGCAAAUGAAUAAACAAAUGAAAAACAUAUUUGGACAUAAGAUAUAGUUUCUUAUGAUUAUCUUAUAUGGCAAUUGUUCUGCUUGAGAUAGUAAGUGCUAAGAUAUAUUAAGCAACAAACUCCACGUAUGUGUAUCGGGGAAGAUCAAUUGAGGUGGAUUAAACUCAUGCGAGAUAUAUAGCUCCUCCACAUUGACAUCCUACUUUGUUUUUAAGUAUAAUGUUUUUGUGUGUCCUUAUUUUUUCUCAAUAUUAGUUUUCUUUUCUUUAAGUGAAUAUCUUCUAGUUUUUUAAUAAGAGAGGGCUUGAGUGGUUGAUAUUGUUUGUUUGUGUCUCUUAAAUUUGUUCUUUACUAGUAGAUGAGUUUAUCAAAGGAAAAUGCAUUUUGGAGCUCGGAAGAUGUAGAAAUCUUUUGUAAGUUAUGCAUCGAACAAAUUGAAAAAGGCAAUCGUUCUGCAAACAACAAAAGAGAUAGAUGGACAGUCAUAAUUAGUAAGUUUGAGGAGCUAACGGGCAAAAAGUAUGAUAAACAUAAAAUGAAGAGUAAGUGGGAUAACCUCAAGGAAGAUUGGAAAAGAUGGAGGUCAUUGCUUUACAAUGAAACUGGAUUAGGAUGGGAUUCAAGGAAGAAAACCAUUGAUGCGAGUGACGAAUGGUGGGAGAGUAAAAUUCAGGCUAAUCCAAAGUUUAAGGCUUUUAAGAUGAAAGGCAUACAUCAUGAUCUUGAAGUAAAGUUGAUAUGAUGUUCAGAGAUACAGUUGCUACUGGAGGAAUCACAUGGAAUCCUGCACAAGGUUUAUGUGUUGAUAAUGAUAUGGAGACCACACAACCUGGUAUCGAUGAUAUUGUAGGGUCUACUGAUGAAAACUUUGAGGAUCAUGUGGAUGAAACCGUUGAACCAACUGGAACUCAAACUCGUAAGAGAGCGACACAGACUUCAAAGAUGCAAGCUCGAGGAAAAAAAGAUAGGAAAUUGAACACAAGAGAAGAGCUCAGAACACAGAUUAACAAGCUGCUUACAGUUGUUGAGAGUAGGAGCACUACUAGUGUUGCAUCCAAAGCAACCAGUUUAGUCGGUCCUUAUAAGGAUCUCAUAGAGAUAUUGGAUUCUAUUACUGGGAUUGUGGAAGACGAAGACUUGUAUUUUUUUGCAAUUUCUCAUUUAAAGGAAAAUAUAAACAAUAGGCAAGUUUUUAUGAGCUUAAAGGAUAAUGCAAAGAAAGUAAAGUAUCUCAAAUAUGAGUCGAAAAAAGAAUCAAGUCUUUGUGGAUAGGAUGUUAGCAUCUUAUUGUUUUAAUAUUUGAAGUUUAGUCAUUCCACUUUGUUUCUAUCUAUGGAUCUUUAUUUGCAGUUAUUGUGAACCUAAUUUCAAUUAA
Long non-coding RNA from Eucalyptus grandis, 3081 nucleotides. RefSeq lists it as uncharacterized. NCBI's taxonomy places the organism in Eukaryota, Viridiplantae, Streptophyta, Magnoliopsida, Myrtales, Myrtaceae. The transcript is spliced from 2 exons. The record is from RefSeq and is a predicted model, not a curated record.